RNAcentral lists this ribosomal RNA (1493 nucleotides) under Lactiplantibacillus pentosus. RNAcentral describes it as "bacterial SSU rRNA". It matches the Rfam family "Bacterial small subunit ribosomal RNA". Lineage: Bacteria; Bacillati; Bacillota; Bacilli; Lactobacillales; Lactobacillaceae. The record is from RNAcentral.
GACGAACGCUGGCGGCGUGCCUAAUACAUGCAAGUCGAACGAACUCUGGUAUUGAUUGGUGCUUGCAUCAUGAUUUACAUUUGAGUGAGUGGCGAACUGGUGAGUAACACGUGGGAAACCUGCCCAGAAGCGGGGGAUAACACCUGGAAACAGAUGCUAAUACCGCAUAACAACUUGGACCGCAUGGUCCGAGUUUGAAAGAUGGCCUCGGCUAUCACUUUUGGAUGGUCCCGCGGCGUAUUAGCUAGAUGGUGGGGUAACGGCUCACCAUGGCAAUGAUACGUAGCCGACCUGAGAGGGUAAUCGGCCACAUUGGGACUGAGACACGGCCCAAACUCCUACGGGAGGCAGCAGUAGGGAAUCUUCCACAAUGGACGAAAGUCUGAUGGAGCAACGCCGCGUGAGUGAAGAAGGGUUUCGGCUCGUAAAACUCUGUUGUUAAAGAAGAACAUAUCUGAGAGUAACUGUUCAGGUAUUGACGGUAUUUAACCAGAAAGCCACGGCUAACUACGUGCCAGCAGCCGCGGUAAUACGUAGGUGGCAAGCGUUGUCCGGAUUUAUUGGGCGUAAAGCGAGCGCAGGCGGUUUUUUAAGUCUGAUGUGAAAGCCUUCGGCUCAACCGAAGAAGUGCAUCGGAAACUGGGAAACUUGAGUGCAGAAGAGGACAGUGGAACUCCAUGUGUAGCGGUGAAAUGCGUAGAUAUAUGGAAGAACACCAGUGGCGAAGGCGGCUGUCUGGUCUGUAACUGACGCUGAGGCUCGAAAGUAUGGGUAGCAAACAGGAUUAGAUACCCUGGUAGUCCAUACCGUAAACGAUGAAUGCUAAGUGUUGGAGGGUUUCCGCCCUUCAGUGCUGCAGCUAACGCAUUAAGCAUUCCGCCUGGGGAGUACGGCCGCAAGGCUGAAACUCAAAGGAAUUGACGGGGGCCCGCACAAGCGGUGGAGCAUGUGGUUUAAUUCGAAGCUACGCGAAGAACCUUACCAGGUCUUGACAUACUAUGCAAAUCUAAGAGAUUAGACGUUCCCUUCGGGGACAUGGAUACAGGUGGUGCAUGGUUGUCGUCAGCUCGUGUCGUGAGAUGUUGGGUUAAGUCCCGCAACGAGCGCAACCCUUAUUAUCAGUUGCCAGCAUUAAGUUGGGCACUCUGGUGAGACUGCCGGUGACAAACCGGAGGAAGGUGGGGAUGACGUCAAAUCAUCAUGCCCCUUAUGACCUGGGCUACACACGUGCUACAAUGGAUGGUACAACGAGUUGCGAACUCGCGAGAGUAAGCUAAUCUCUUAAAGCCAUUCUCAGUUCGGAUUGUAGGCUGCAACUCGCCUACAUGAAGUCGGAAUCGCUAGUAAUCGCGGAUCAGCAUGCCGCGGUGAAUACGUUCCCGGGCCUUGUACACACCGCCCGUCACACCAUGAGAGUUUGUAACACCCAAAGUCGGUGGGGUAACCUUUUAGGAACCAGCCGCCUAAGGUGGGACAGAUGAUUAGGGUGGUAG